GAUGAAGAACGUAGCGAAAUGCGAUAAGUAAUGUGAAUUGCAGAAUUCAGUGAAUCAUCGAAUCUUUGAACGCAUCUUGCGCUCCUUGGUAUUCCGAGGAGCAUGCCUGUUUGAGUGUCAUUAAUAUAUCAACCUUCUCUUUUUUGAGUUGUUUGGAUGUGGGGGUUUGCUGGCCUCUUAAAUGAUUCAGCUCCCCUGAAAUGCAUUAGCAGAACAACCUGUUCAUUAGCGUGAUAAUUAUCUAUGCUAUUGAAUGUGAGGGCAGUUCAGCUUUCUAACCGUCCUUGGACAAUUCAUCAUUAAUGUGACCUCAAAUCAGGUAGGACUACCCGCUGAACUUAAGCAUAUCAAUAAGCGGAGGA
Molecule: unclassified non-coding RNA, 362 nt
Filed under: soil metagenome
Description: partial contains 5.8S ribosomal RNA, internal transcribed spacer 2, and large subunit ribosomal RNA
Rfam family: 5.8S ribosomal RNA (bases 1-120)
Source: RNAcentral